GCUAAACGCGAAGAACCUUACCAGGGCUUGACAUCCUACUAAUGAAGCAGAGAUGCAUUAAGUGCCCUUCGGGGAAAGUAGAGACAGGUGGUGCAUGGUUGUCGUCAGCUCGUGUCGUGAGAUGUUGGGUUAAGUCCCGCAACGAGCGCAACCCCUAUUGUUAGUUGCUACGCAAGAGCACUCUAGCGAGACUGCCGUUGACAAAACGGAGGAAGGUGGGGACGACGUCAAAUCAUCAUGCCCCCUUAUGUCCUGGGCCACACACGUAAUACAAUGGCGUUAAACAGAGGGAUGCUAAGCCGUGAGGUGGAGCGAACCCCUAAAAGGCGUCUCAGUUCGGAUUGCAGGCUGCAACUCGCCUGCAUGAAGUCGGAAUCGCUAGUAAUCGCGGAUCAGAAUGCCGCGGUGAAUACGUUCCCGGGUCUUGUACACACC
This 435-nucleotide ribosomal RNA is filed under the name uncultured bacterium. Its description in RNAcentral is "bacterial SSU rRNA". It matches the Rfam family "Bacterial small subunit ribosomal RNA", at positions 954 to 1391 of the family's 1533-position model. The record is from RNAcentral.